UACGAAGGGGGCUAGCGUUGCGCGGAAUCACUGGGCGUAAAGGGUGCGUAGGCGGGUCUUUAAGUCAGGGGGGAAAUCCUGGAGCUCAACUCCAGAACUGCCUUUGAUACUGAGGAUCUUGAGUUCGGGAGAGGUGAGUGGAACUGCGAGUGUAGAGGUGAGAUUCGUAGAUAUUCGCAAGAACACCAGUGGCGAAGGCGGCUCACUGGCCCGAUACUGACGCUGAGGCACGAAAGCGUGGGGAGCAAACAGG
This 253-nucleotide ribosomal RNA is filed under the name uncultured bacterium. RNAcentral describes it as "partial 16S ribosomal RNA". It matches the Rfam family "Bacterial small subunit ribosomal RNA", at positions 524 to 776 of the family's 1533-position model. The record is from RNAcentral.